UAGGGAAUCUUCCACAAUGGACGCAAGUCUGAUGGAGCAACGCCGCGUGAGUGAAGAAGGGUUUCGGCUCGUAAAGCUCUGUUGUUAAAGAAGAACGUGGGUAAGAGUAACUGUUUAUACGUUGACGGUAUUUAACCAGAAAGUCACGGCUAACUACGUGCCAG
Molecule: ribosomal RNA, 164 nt
Filed under: uncultured bacterium
Lineage: Bacteria
Description: partial 16S ribosomal RNA
Rfam family: Bacterial small subunit ribosomal RNA
Source: RNAcentral